This 497-nucleotide ribosomal RNA is filed under the name uncultured bacterium. RNAcentral's name for it is "partial 16S ribosomal RNA". It matches the Rfam family "Bacterial small subunit ribosomal RNA", at positions 28 to 507 of the family's 1533-position model. The record is from RNAcentral.
GAUGAACGCUGGCGGCGUGCCUAAUACAUGCAAGUCGAGCGAACGGACGAGAAGCUUGCUUCUCUGAUGUUAGCGGCGGACGGGUGAGUAACACGUGGAUAACCUACCUAUAAGACUGGGAUAACUUCGGGAAACCGGAGCUAAUCCCGGAUAAUAUUUUGAACCGCAUGGUUCAAAAGUAAAAGACGGUCUUGCUGUCACUUAUAGCUGGAUCCGCGCUGCAUUAGCUAGUUGGUAAGGUAACGGCUUACCAAGGCAACGAUGCAUAGCCGACCUGAGAGGCUGAUCGGCCACACUGGAACUGAGACACGGUCCAGACUCCUACGGGAGGCAGCAGUAGGGAAUCUUCCGCAAUGGGCGAAAGCCUGACGGAGCAACGCCGCGUGAGUGAUGAAGGUCUUCGGAUCGUAAAACUCUGUUAUUAGGGAAGAACAUAUGUGUAAGUAACUGUGCACAUCUUGACGGUACCUAAUCAGAAAGCCACGGCUAACUACGUG